This 328-nucleotide ribosomal RNA is filed under the name uncultured bacterium. Its description in RNAcentral is "bacterial SSU rRNA". It matches the Rfam family "Bacterial small subunit ribosomal RNA", at positions 30 to 342 of the family's 1533-position model. The record is from RNAcentral.
AGCGAACGCUGGCGGCAUGCCUAACACAUGCAAGUCUGACGGGCGGGCUUUCGGGCCUUGUCAGUGGCGGACGGGUGAGGAGCGCGUAGGAACGUAUCCAAGGGUGGGGACAACCGCGGGAAACUGCGGCUAAUACCGCAUGGGGCCUCUAGGGAGACCUGAAAGGGGAGACCUGGGGGCCAAAGGCUGGGGCAACCUAGUCGCCGGUGGAGCGGCCUGCGUCCGAUUAGCUAGUUGGUGGGGUGAUGGCUUACCAAGGCAGCGAUCGGUAGCUGGUCUGAGAGGAUGAUCAGCCACACUGGGACUGAGACACGGCCCAGACUCCUAC